UCUUUGUAGUAUGGAUCCAGCUGUUUCUGUAGCCAGCUGAGGUUGCUGGCUGAACUGAGACUUGGAGCUAACCUGGAGCAGAGAUGGAACUGUGUUGGUGUUUGUCUCUUCUUGCCCUCGCCUCUGUGGGAAACCUUCCUGGACUCAAACUGGCUGCUGCAUUUCCUUCAUUGCAAGAGUGACUACGAAAGUAUUUCAUGUCAUCUGAUGUGGUAGUUGAAUAAAUAAGAUUUGAGUUA
Molecule: long non-coding RNA, 239 nt
Organism: Mobula hypostoma (lesser devil ray)
Lineage: Eukaryota; Metazoa; Chordata; Chondrichthyes; Myliobatiformes; Myliobatidae
Exons: 2
Source: RefSeq, a predicted model, not a curated record